RNAcentral lists this ribosomal RNA (408 nucleotides) under uncultured bacterium. RNAcentral describes it as "bacterial SSU rRNA". It matches the Rfam family "Bacterial small subunit ribosomal RNA", at positions 976 to 1374 of the family's 1533-position model. The record is from RNAcentral.
AGCCUUUGACAUCCUGGUCGCGGAUUAGAGAGAUCUUUUCCUUCAGUUCGGCUGGACCAGUGACAGGUGCUGCAUGGCUGUCGUCAGCUCGUGUCGUGAGAUGUUGGGUUAAGUCCCGCAACGAGCGCAACCCUCGUCCUUAGUUGCCACCAUUUAGUUGGGCACUCUAAGGAAACUGCCGGUGAUAAGCCGGAGGAAGGUGGGGAUGACGUCAAGUCCUCAUGGCCCUUACAGGCUGGGCUACACACGUGCUACAAUGGCGGUGACAGUGGGCAGCGAGCACGCGAGUGUGAGCUAAUCUCCAAAAGCCGUCUCAGUUCGGAUUGUUCUCUGCAACUCGAGAGCAUGAAGGCGGAAUCGCUAGUAAUCGCGGAUCAGCAUGCCGCGGUGAAUACGUUCCGCAGGCCU